AUUGAACGCUGGCGGCAGGCCUAACACAUGCAAGUCGAGCGGAUGAAGGGAGCUUGCUCCCGGAUUCAGCGGCGGACGGGUGAGUAAUGCCUAGGAAUCUGCCUGGUAGUGGGGGAUAACGUCCGGAAACGGGCGCUAAUACCGCAUACGUCCUGAGGGAGAAAGUGGGGGAUCUUCGGACCUCACGCUAUCAGAUGAGCCUAGGUCGGAUUAGCUAGUUGGUGGGGUAAAGGCCUACCAAGGCGACGAUCCGUAACUGGUCUGAGAGGAUGAUCAGUCACACUGGAACUGAGACACGGUCCAGACUCCUACGGGAGGCAGCAGUGGGGAAUAUUGGACAAUGGGCGAAAGCCUGACCCAGCCAUGCCGCGUGUGUGAAGAAGGUCUUCGGAUUGUAAAGCACUUUAAGUUGGGAGGAAGGGCAGUAAGUUAAUACCUUGCUGUUUUGACGUUACCAACAGAAUAAGCACCGGCUAACUUCGUG
This 484-nucleotide ribosomal RNA is filed under the name uncultured bacterium. RNAcentral's name for it is "partial 16S ribosomal RNA". It matches the Rfam family "Bacterial small subunit ribosomal RNA", at positions 30 to 507 of the family's 1533-position model. The record is from RNAcentral.